RNAcentral lists this transfer RNA (71 nucleotides) under Gemmatimonadota bacterium. RNAcentral's name for it is "Gemmatimonadetes bacterium (soil metagenome) tRNA-Gln". It matches the Rfam family "tRNA". From Rfam's summary of the family: Transfer RNA (tRNA) molecules are approximately 80 nucleotides in length. Their secondary structure includes four short double-helical elements and three loops (D, anti-codon, and T loops). Further hydrogen bonds mediate the characteristic L-shaped molecular structure. tRNAs have two regions of fundamental functional importance: the anti-codon, which is responsible for specific mRNA codon recognition, and the 3' end, to which the tRNAs corresponding amino acid is attached (by aminoacyl-tRNA synthetases). tRNAs cope with the degeneracy of the genetic code in two manners: having more than one tRNA (with a specific anti-codon) for a particular amino acid; and 'wobble' base-pairing, i.e. permitting non-standard base-pairing at the 3rd anti-codon position. RNAcentral also lists the same sequence under 2 other names. Lineage: Bacteria; Pseudomonadati; Gemmatimonadota. The record is from RNAcentral.
UGCCCCCUGGUGUAAAGGCAGCACAGCGGUCUUUGGAACCGUUAGUGGAGGUUCGAAUCCUCCGGGGGCAA